This 492-nucleotide ribosomal RNA is filed under the name uncultured bacterium. RNAcentral describes it as "partial 16S ribosomal RNA". It matches the Rfam family "Bacterial small subunit ribosomal RNA", at positions 30 to 507 of the family's 1533-position model. The record is from RNAcentral.
AUUGAACGCUGGCGGUAUGCUUUACACAUGCAAGUCGAACGGCAGCGCGGUCAGCGCUUGCGCUUACGGGUGGCGACUGGUGGGUAAGUUAGGAGAACGUCCCCAUUUGCUUUUUCGAGCGAGACGACGUCGGGGCACUUACGCUAAUCCCGCAUCCGGCGUAAGGGUGGAAGCGUGAGAUCUUGCACUCUUGCGCCAUUCGAUGUGCGGAUGUCGGAUUAGCUAGUUGGCGGGGUAACGGCGCACCAAGGCGACGAUCCGUAGCUGGUCUGAGAGGACGAUCAGCCACACUGGAACUGAGACACGGCCCAGACUCCUACGGGAGGCAGCAGUGGGGAAUUUUGGACAAUGGGGGCAACCCUGAUCCAGCCAUCCCGCGUGUGUGAUGAAGGCCUUCGGGUUGUAAAGCCCUUUUGGCAGGAAAGAAAAGCAGCAGGUUAAUACCCCGCGGUACUGACGGUACCUGAAGAAUAAGCACCGGCUAACUACGUG